AACAGGAUUAGAUACCCUGGUAGUCCAUGCCGUAAACGAUGAGUGCUAGGUGUUGGAGGGUUUCCGCCCUUCAGUGCCGGAGCUAACGCAUUAAGCACUCCGCCUGGGGGGUACGACCGCAAGGUUGAAACUCAAAGGAAUUGACGGGGGCCCGCACAAGCGGUGGAGCAUGUGGUUUAAUUCGAAGCUACGCGAAGAACCUUACCAGGUCUUGACAUCUUGCGCCAACCCUAGAGAUAGGGCGUUUCCUUCGGGAAUGCAAUGACAGGUGGUGCAUGGUCGUCGUCAGCUCGUGUCGUGAGAUGUUGGGUUAAGUCCCGCAACGAGCGCAACCCUUGUUACUAGUUGCCAGCAUUAAGUUGGGCACUCUAGUGAGACUGCCGGUGACAAACCGGAGGAAGGUGGGGACGACGUCAGAUCAUCAUGCCCCUUAUGACCUGGGCUACACACGUGCUACAAUGGACGGUACAACGAGUCGCGAACUCGCGAGGGCAAGCAAAUCUCUUAAAACCGUUCUCAGUUCGGACUGCAGGCUGCAACUCGCCUGCACGAAGUCGGAAUCGCUAGUAAUCGCGGAUCAGCAUGCCGCGGUGAAUACGUUCCCGGGCCUUGUACACACCGCCCGUCACACCAUGAGAGUUUGUAACACCCAAAGUCGGUGGGGUAACCUUUUAGGAGCCAGCCGCCUAAGGUGGGACAGAUGAUUAGGGUGAAGUCGUAACAAGGUAACC
This 731-nucleotide ribosomal RNA is filed under the name uncultured bacterium. RNAcentral's name for it is "bacterial SSU rRNA". It matches the Rfam family "Bacterial small subunit ribosomal RNA", at positions 771 to 1501 of the family's 1533-position model. The record is from RNAcentral.